GAUUUGCCACUGCCUACGUGGCCGCAGAUACCGACUAAUUUUCCUUUAGGUGCUCCGAAAUGCACAUCGCUAAGAACCUCGACGUAUUUAGUUUCCUGCAUUGGUUGAUUCAGAUUCUCCAAUUCCAGUGGAUUGUCCAAUGUAUUGAUUGAUGCAUCGGUUUGAAGCUUCAUGCUAUCGCAAACAAAGGUACCAUUAGCAAUGGCAACUGCUUGCGAUCUCACAAUGGGUUUCGAUGCCUGGCAAUUGUCCUCGUUCAGCAGCAACACACUCUGUGCAAAUAUCAUCUCGUUAAUUCAAAUCAUCUAUUUCAAAAGAUUCUCGAAGAAACUAGAAUACAUUAGAAGCAUGUCAGAAGCAAAUAAGCUUAAAUAUGUAAAAAUGUAACUUUAAAUAAGAUAAAGAUAUAUACAGUGCAUACACUCAGCGACACUAAGGUGACAUAUCUGACUCUAAAUUAAUUUUUAAAUUAAAUUUGUGUAGCAACAUACUUGCUUCUCGUAAAUCUAACAUCUCUAGAGAUAAUAUCUCUAAUAUAAUACAAAUACAAAAAAAAAAA
Molecule: long non-coding RNA, 559 nt
Organism: Monomorium pharaonis (pharaoh ant)
Lineage: Eukaryota; Metazoa; Arthropoda; Insecta; Hymenoptera; Formicidae
Exons: 2
Source: RefSeq, a predicted model, not a curated record